Molecule: ribosomal RNA, 492 nt
Filed under: uncultured bacterium
Lineage: Bacteria
Description: partial 16S ribosomal RNA
Rfam family: Bacterial small subunit ribosomal RNA
Source: RNAcentral
AGUGAACGCUGGCGGUAGGCCUAACACAUGCAAGUCGAACGGCAGCACAGUAAGAGCUUGCUCUUACGGGUGGCGAGUGGCGGACGGGUGAGGAAUACAUCGGAAUCUACUUUUUCGUGGGGGAUAACGUAGGGAAACUUACGCUAAUACCGCAUACGACCUACGGGUGAAAGCAGGGGAUCUUCGGACCUUGCGCGAUUGAAUGAGCCGAUGUCGGAUUAGCUAGAUGGCGGGGUAAAGGCCCACCAAGGCGACGAUCCGUAGCUGGUCUGAGAGGAUGAACAGCCACACUGGAACUGAGACACGGUCGAGACUCCUACGGGAGGCAGCAGUGGGGAAUAUUGGACAAGGGGCGCAAGCCUGAUCCAGCCAUACCGCGUGGGUGAAGAAGGCCUUCGGGUUGUAAAGCCCUGUUGUUGGGAAAGAAAAGCAGCAGGUUAAUACCCCGCUGUUCUGACGGUACCCAAAGAAUAAGCACCGGCUAACUUCGUG